RNAcentral lists this ribosomal RNA (881 nucleotides) under Pseudoalteromonas sp. RNAcentral's name for it is "bacterial SSU rRNA". It matches the Rfam family "Bacterial small subunit ribosomal RNA", at positions 76 to 957 of the family's 1533-position model. The record is from RNAcentral. Lineage: Bacteria; Pseudomonadati; Pseudomonadota; Gammaproteobacteria; Alteromonadales; Pseudoalteromonadaceae.
UAGCUUGCUACUUUGCUGACGAGCGGCGGACGGGUGAGUAAUGCUUGGGAACAUGCCUUGAGGUGGGGGACAACAGUUGGAAACGACUGCUAAUACCGCAUAAUGUCUACGGACCAAAGGGGGCUUCGGCUCUCGCCUUUAGAUUGGCCCAAGUGGGAUUAGCUAGUUGGUGAGGUAAUGGCUCACCAAGGCGACGAUCCCUAGCUGGUUUGAGAGGAUGAUCAGCCACACUGGGACUGAGACACGGCCCAGACUCCUACGGGAGGCAGCAGUGGGGAAUAUUGCACAAUGGGCGCAAGCCUGAUGCAGCCAUGCCGCGUGUGUGAAGAAGGCCUUCGGGUUGUAAAGCACUUUCAGUCAGGAGGAAAGGUUAACGGUUAAUACCCGUUAGCUGUGACGUUACUGACAGAAGAAGCACCGGCUAACUCCGUGCCAGCAGCCGCGGUAAUACGGAGGGUGCGAGCGUUAAUCGGAAUUACUGGGCGUAAAGCGUACGCAGGCGGUUUGUUAAGCGAGAUGUGAAAGCCCCGGGCUCAACCUGGGAACUGCAUUUCGAACUGGCAAACUAGAGUGUGAUAGAGGGUGGUAGAAUUUCAGGUGUAGCGGUGAAAUGCGUAGAGAUCUGAAGGAAUACCGAUGGCGAAGGCAGCCACCUGGGUCAACACUGACGCUCAUGUACGAAAGCGUGGGGAGCAAACGGGAUUAGAUACCCCGGUAGUCCACGCCGUAAACGAUGUCUACUAGAAGCUCGGAGCCUCGGUUCUGUUUUUCAAAGCUAACGCAUUAAGUAGACCGCCUGGGGAGUACGGCCGCAAGGUUAAAACUCAAAUGAAUUGACGGGGGCCCGCACAAGCGGUGGAGCAUGUGGUUUAAUUCGAUGC